Long non-coding RNA from Xiphias gladius (swordfish), 501 nucleotides. RefSeq lists it as uncharacterized. Lineage: Eukaryota; Metazoa; Chordata; Actinopteri; Istiophoriformes; Xiphiidae. The record is from RefSeq and is a predicted model, not a curated record. The transcript is spliced from 2 exons.
CUCCACUCACACAGGUAACAGGCUGCAGCAGGAGCAAGGAGGUGAAGGAAGGAGCCGGUACAGGACAGGUCGUCUGAUGGCUCUCAGUCGUCGUGGAUACACUGCCGGACCAGUGGAUCGGUCUGAUGACGACUCCUUCCCUCCUCAAUUUUCUCUCCUCAAUCUUAACCAUCCGAGCUCCGUAGAAACUGUCGCCACAGAUCCCUGGAUGCGGCCAGGAACAUCGGACACACUGAAAUGUUCGGACCGUCCAUCAAGGAGGGAGUGGUUGGCAACAUAGGACCGACCCUGUUGCUCAAACCUGAGAGGUUCCUCGUACUUUUGGAAGUCAGUUGUAGCACAGACUUCCCUGUCUUUGAAUUAUGAGACUAGGACGGGUUUUAACUCGUGGCUUUUGUGACAAAUGGAUGCCAGUAUGAAUGACAAAUGAUACCUGUUAUGUACUUUUAUUUGACCAAUGACUAAAUUAUGUUUUAAAUAAAUGUAUAAUUAUAAACUGUA